UCGGUCGGACGCUCCUUCGUCCGCGCGCAUAUACUUGUACGCGCGCUCUAGUAGCUCGGCGUAUGUCCGGGGGAGGGUCUUGUCCAGAGAGUAGGUGAAUCGGGACGCCCUCAGGCCCCGCUUCAUGGCUGAGACAGCCAUGUCUUCGUUGAGGUCCCGGACCUCAAGCGUGGCCGUGUUGAAUCGCGCCACGAAGUAUCGGAGUGUCUCAUUUUCCCCCUGCUUGAGGGAGAAAAGGCUGUCCGACGUUCGCGGCGGCUUU
RNAcentral lists this long non-coding RNA (262 nucleotides) under Elaeis guineensis (African oil palm). Its description in RNAcentral is "long non-coding RNA (EGUI_LNC022140)". The record is from RNAcentral. Lineage: Eukaryota; Viridiplantae; Streptophyta; Magnoliopsida; Arecales; Arecaceae.